UACGAAGGGGGCUAGCGUUGCUCGGAAUCACUGGGCGUAAAGCGCACGUAGGCGGAUUGUUAAGUCAGGGGUGAAAUCCUGGAGCUCAACUCCAGAACUGCCUUUGAUACUGGCGAUCUCGAGUCCGGGAGAGGUGAGUGGAACUGCGAGUGUAGAGGUGAAAUUCGUAGAUAUUCGCAAGAACACCAGUGGCGAAGGCGGGUCUCUGGACAGUUCCUGACACUGAGACACGAAGGCCAGGGGAGCAAACGGG
RNAcentral lists this ribosomal RNA (253 nucleotides) under uncultured bacterium. Its description in RNAcentral is "partial 16S ribosomal RNA". It matches the Rfam family "Bacterial small subunit ribosomal RNA", at positions 524 to 776 of the family's 1533-position model. The record is from RNAcentral.